This 471-nucleotide long non-coding RNA is filed under the name Dasypus novemcinctus (nine-banded armadillo). RNAcentral's name for it is "lncRNA (ENSDNOG00000050978.1)". Lineage: Eukaryota; Metazoa; Chordata; Mammalia; Cingulata; Dasypodidae. The record is from RNAcentral.
AUGUGUUCUAAAGCUUUCAGUGUCAGAACACGUGAUGGCAGAGACCCCAGAAGCUUUGGCAUCUCUUCAGAUCUCCAGUGGCAUCUACUAUGCGCUGCAAUUAUCCAGCUUCACCUGAGGAAGAAUAGAAUUUCCAUGAACAAAUUCGAGCUUUCACAAGGCCUCAUCGUGAUGGGAGAAGUUGCCUGGCUAGAAGUUCAUCUGAAUGGGCUCAUUCUUAGUGGUCUCCAUGUUGAUCUAUGAGAGUCUCCUGAUUUGGAUGGAAUUCAUCUCUUCAGGUUUCAAGGGUGCCUCUAGACCCAGUUUAGGGGCCAAUGUGCCCUUUUGAGGCAACAGAGAGUGCCACAUGCCCUUUCAAAGCAUUGUACUCAUCGUUCUGCAAUAUGCUGAUCUCCUCCGGCUAUGAGAGAUCAAAUUUGACUGGCCAGUCACCUAAUUUCCUCAAAUACAGUGCUGUAUUUUAAUGGCAAG